Molecule: non-coding RNA, 126 nt
Filed under: Chloroflexota bacterium
Lineage: Bacteria; Bacillati; Chloroflexota
Description: Chloroflexi bacterium c-di-GMP sequence
Rfam family: c-di-GMP-I riboswitch aptamer
About the family: GEMM was predicted in a large-scale screen for bacterial structured RNA regulatory elements. Genes associated with GEMM are involved in a diverse array of functions, including chemotaxis regulation, signal transduction, secretion and chitin.
Source: RNAcentral
UCUCCGAAAGGGCAAAGGCACGGGAAACCGUGUCGGCGCAAAGCCGCGGAUCUAAGGUCUCCCGCUUCGACAGGGACGUUCACAGCGGCAGUAGGAGCGAGAGACUAUGGUGGCCGGGCUACCGAA